Molecule: non-coding RNA, 30 nt
Filed under: Rattus norvegicus (Norway rat)
Lineage: Eukaryota; Metazoa; Chordata; Mammalia; Rodentia; Muridae
Source: RNAcentral
ACCUUGGGAAGAGCAGAUAAUGCUCUUAAC